ACGACUCUCACUCAUUGAGGGCCGGGAUUUAAGAAACCUCACUGCAGGCAUUCUGCGCGCUGUCUUCACAGACGACUUGGGAGCGAAGUUCAGCAUACUAGGCCAGCGGCAAAAAAAAAAAAGAGCCUAAGAGACUUGCAUGUGUACAGUGUCAUUGAAGAGACGAUUCGAAGUGAUCCUAUGUGUGCAAAUGCAACAACCCAUGUCAUUCGUCAAGCAGCAGCUGCCUGGCUGAAAAAUUGCAGUCUGCGAGCGGCUAAGGGGCACCAAAAGGACGUAGCGCAUUCUUUGGUGGAACAUGCAUAGAAGUUUCAAAUUAUAGAGUGAGUUAUACAAAUAUUCUACCACCAUUCUUAUGCCAAGAAUUUAUUGAUGGUCUUGCUUCACUUCUCAUAUAUAUUUUUUCACCCCUAAGUGAUGGUGCUUGUUUUUGUUGUAUAUUUGUUCUUAUGCCAUUGUGCAUGCAUUCUUGUGACAGCCACUUGAAACCUGGCAGAAAACAAGCUGCUGUGCAUCCUUAGUGCUAACUGAGGUCAUAAAAAAAUUCAGUUUCACAACUGCUAUGAUUAACACGCACAUCACCCUUGUGGUGGUUAAAGUGGUGUGUGCAUUAGAGAACCUGUACUGUUCUAUACCCUUGAAAGCUGUCAAUGGGGCAAGGCCUUUUUUCUGUUUAUCUAGCGUCAUUGCAAAUUUUUCUGCAAUAUGUGAAAUGCCAGUUGCAUUUGUACUUAAAGUAUUUAAUCUCUCUUUACUGGUUUUGAGUGCUCUAGAU
Molecule: long non-coding RNA, 775 nt
Organism: Dermacentor silvarum
Lineage: Eukaryota; Metazoa; Arthropoda; Arachnida; Ixodida; Ixodidae
Exons: 3
Source: RefSeq, a predicted model, not a curated record